GGAGGGACGCAGGAGGCUAACGAUGCGCACUAUCGGAUGUGCGUCCAAGCAGCAAGUCUGUCGGCGAGUCAAAUGCUUGCCGGCUCAAGGACAAGCUGUGACGGGUAUGAACGAUUUAUCGUUCUAAGUGAGUGACGUCACACUGCCAAGAAAAGCUUCUAGUUAGAAUCAGACCGCCCGUACCGCAAACCGACACAGGUAGUCGGGUCGAGAAGACCAAGGUGAGCGAGAGAACUCUCGUUAAGGAACUCGGCAAAAUGACCCCGUAACUUCGGGAGAAGGGGUGCUGAUCGCAAGAUCAGCCGCAGUGAAUAGGCCCAGGCGACUGUUUAUCAAAAACACAGGUUUCUGCAAAAUCGUAAGAUGAAGUAUAGGGGCUGACGCCUGCCCGGUGCUGGAAGGUUAAGAGGAUGGGUUAGCGCAAGCGAAGCUCAGAAUUGAAGCCCCAGUAAACGGCGGCCGUAACAAUAACGGUCCUAAGGUAGCGAAAUUCCUUGUCGGGUAAGUUCCGACCCGCACGAAAGGCGUAACGAUCUGGGCACUGUCUCUACGAGAGACUCGGUGAAAUUAUAAUACCCGUGAAGAUGCGGGUUACCCGCGACAGGACGGAAAGACCCCAUGGAGCUUUACUGUAGCUUGAUAUUGGGUGUUUGUACAACUUGUACAGGAUAGGUAGGAGCCGUAGAAGUCGGGACGCUAGUUUCGACGGAGGCACCGGUGGGAUACUACCCUCGUUGUAUGAAUACUCUAACCCACGCCGGCAAACACGGCGGGAGACAGUGUCAGGUGGGCAGUUUGACUGGGGCGGUCGCCUCCUAAAAGGUAACGGAGGCGCCCAAAGGUUCCCUCAGAAUGGUUGGAAAUCAUUCGCAGAGUGUAAAGGCAUAAGGGAGCUUGACUGCGAGACCUACAAGUCGAGCAGGGACGAAAGUCGGGCUUAGUGAUCCGGUGGUUCCGCAUGGAAGGGCCAUCGCUCAACGGAUAAAAGCUACCCUGGGGAUAACAGGCUUAUCUCCCCCAAGAGUCCACAUCGACGGGGAGGUUUGGCACCUCGAUGUCGGCUCAUCGCAUCCUGGGGCUGUAGUCGGUCCCAAGGGUUGGGCUGUUCGCCCAUUAAAGCGGUACGCGAGCUGGGUUCAGAACGUCGUGAGACAGUUCGGUCCCUAUCCGUCGCGGGCGCAGGAAAUUUGAGAGGAUCUGUCCUUAGUACGAGAGGACCGGGAUGGACAUACCGCUGGUGUACCAGUUGUUCUGCCAAGGGCAUCGCUGGGUAGCUAUGUAUGGAUGAGAUAAACGCUGAAAGCAUCUAAGUGCGAAACUCACCUCGAGAUGAGAUUUCCCACUCCUUUAUGGAGUUAAGACCCCUGAGAGAUGAUCAGGUAGAUAGGAUGGAAGUGGAAGUGCGGCGACGCAUGGAGCGGACCAUUACUAAUCGGUCGAGGACUUAAUCAA
Molecule: ribosomal RNA, 1452 nt
Filed under: metagenome
Description: bacterial LSU rRNA
Rfam family: Bacterial large subunit ribosomal RNA
Source: RNAcentral